GCCACUCUGAAAAAUGUAUGGAGAUGUUCGAAUCUUCUACCACUUGGUUAUAGCUGAUCUAUAAUGACAGAACGACCUCCAUAACCCUAAAAUAUGUAUCUCAUGAUUUAUUUUGGAUGUGUGAGUAGUUACCUACAACAACCUCCUUUGCACGUCCCAAGAUUUCGAUCACGACUGGCUCUGACUCUCAUCUAUAUAAAUUACUCGUUGGAUCCUCCAAAUAAGUCAC
Molecule: long non-coding RNA, 229 nt
Filed under: Elaeis guineensis (African oil palm)
Lineage: Eukaryota; Viridiplantae; Streptophyta; Magnoliopsida; Arecales; Arecaceae
Description: long non-coding RNA (EGUI_LNC028429)
Source: RNAcentral